Pelobates cultripes (western spadefoot toad) is the source of this 149-nucleotide non-coding RNA. Lineage: Eukaryota; Metazoa; Chordata; Amphibia; Anura; Pelobatidae. The record is from the annotation of a GenBank genome assembly.
CAGUGAUCAAUUGGCAGGGAUUACAUUUUACUAUGAUCUGAUUUUUUUUUUAACCCGUGAGGGUUAAUUCUUUUUUUUUUUUUUACCCUCAAGGGUUAAAAAAAAAAAAUCAGAUCAUAGUAAAAUGUAAUCCCUGCCAAUUGAUCACU